Molecule: ribosomal RNA, 561 nt
Filed under: uncultured bacterium
Lineage: Bacteria
Description: partial 16S ribosomal RNA
Rfam family: Bacterial small subunit ribosomal RNA
Source: RNAcentral
UGGGGAAUAUUGGACAAUGGGCGCAAGCCUGAUCCAGCCAUGCCGCGUGAGUGAUGAAGGCCUUAGGGUUGUAAAGCUCUUCGCCGGUGAAGAUAAUGACGGUAACCGGAGAAGAAGCCCCGGCUAACUUCGUGCCAGCAGCCGCGGUAAUACGAAGGGGGCUAGCGUUGCUCGGAAUCACUGGGCGUAAAGCGCACGUAGGCGGAUCGUUAAGUCAGGGGUGAAAUCCUGGAGCUCAACUCCAGAACUGCCCUUGAUACUGGCGAUCUCGAGUUCGAGAGAGGUUGGUGGAACUCCGAGUGUAGAGGUGAAAUUCGUAGAUAUUCGGAAGAACACCAGUGGCGAAGGCGGCCAACUGGCUCGAUACUGACGCUGAGGUGCGAAAGCGUGGGGAGCAAAACAGGAUUAGAUACCCUGGUAGUCCACGCCGUAAACGAUGGAUGCUAGCCGUUGGGGGGUUUACCUCUCAGUGGCGCAGCUAACGCCUUAAGCAUCCCGCCUGGGGAGUACGGUCGCAAGAUUAAAAACUCAAAGGAAUUGACGGGGUCAUAGCUGUUUCCU